This is a non-coding RNA of Monodelphis domestica (gray short-tailed opossum), 46 nucleotides long. Lineage: Eukaryota; Metazoa; Chordata; Mammalia; Didelphimorphia; Didelphidae. The record is from Rfam.
UUAAAGGCCCUUUUCAGGGCCCCCCAUCUUCUCCUUAAAGAGAGCU